RNAcentral lists this ribosomal RNA (255 nucleotides) under uncultured bacterium. RNAcentral's name for it is "partial 16S ribosomal RNA". It matches the Rfam family "Bacterial small subunit ribosomal RNA", at positions 524 to 776 of the family's 1533-position model. The record is from RNAcentral.
UACGUAGGCAGCGAGCGUUUGUUCGGAGUUACUGGGCGUAAAGGGUGUGUAGGCGGUUUUCUAAGUUUGGUGUGAAAUCUCCCGGCUCAACCGGGAGGGUGCGCCGAAAACUGGAAGGCUAGAGUGCGGGAUGGGAGAGUAGAAUUCCUGGUGUAGCGGUGAAAUGCGUAGAUAUCAGGAGGAACACCGGUGGCGAAGGCGGGUCUCUGGGCCGAUACUGACGCUGGAGGAGCGAAAGCGUGGGGAGCGAACAGG